Molecule: ribosomal RNA, 403 nt
Filed under: uncultured Bacillus sp.
Lineage: Bacteria; Bacillati; Bacillota; Bacilli; Caryophanales; Bacillaceae
Description: partial 16S ribosomal RNA
Rfam family: Bacterial small subunit ribosomal RNA
Source: RNAcentral
GCCGCGGUAAUACGUAGGUGGCAAGCGUUGUCCGGAAUUAUUGGGCGUAAAGCGCGCGCAGGCGGUCCUUUAAGUCUGAUGUGAAAUCUUGCGGGCUCACCGGNGCGGUCAUUGGAAACUGGGGGACUUGAGUGCAGAAGAGGAAAGCGGAAUUCCACGUGUAGCGGUGAAAUGCGUAGANAUGUGGAGGAACACCAGUGGCGAAGGCGGCUUUCUGGUCUGUAACUGACGCUGAUGCGCGAAAGCGUGGGGAGCAAACAGGAUUAGAUACCCUGGUAGUCCACGCCGUAAACGAUGANUGCUNANUGUUGGANGGUUUCCGCCCUUCNNUGCUGCCUCUAACGCAUUAAGCACUCCGCCUGGGGAGUACGGUCGCAGUACUGACACUCANAGGAUGUGAGGG